RNAcentral lists this non-coding RNA (105 nucleotides) under Geodermatophilus sp. RNAcentral's name for it is "TPP sequence". It matches the Rfam family "TPP riboswitch aptamer (THI element)". Rfam says of the family: Vitamin B(1) in its active form thiamin pyrophosphate (TPP) is an essential coenzyme that is synthesised by coupling of pyrimidine and thiazole moieties in bacteria. The previously detected thiamin-regulatory element, thi box was extended, resulting in a new, highly conserved RNA secondary structure, the THI element, which is widely distributed in eubacteria and also occurs in some archaea. RNAcentral also lists the same sequence under 1 other name. The record is from RNAcentral. Lineage: Bacteria; Bacillati; Actinomycetota; Actinomycetes; Geodermatophilales; Geodermatophilaceae.
ACACACCGACAGGGGAGCGCCAGCAGGCGCUGAGAGUGCGGGCAACCGCAGACCCUCGAACCUGAACCGGGUCAUGCCGGCGUAGGGAGUCUGGAGAGAUCGACA